ACCCUAUAUCUGAAUCCGGCAACCUUUAAGCCUUUAGUCUGUAGACCACCAAAAUUGCCUAGUUACAGAUUUGUGUGGGGCACCAUGUAGCCGUCGUAUCAGCCCUGGCAGUGGAAAAGCCAGCUUCUACCUGAAACUGAUGCCUUCAGAAUGUAUCGAUACGGUAAUGCUACUUUCUCUUCGAAAUUUUUGGGUUCUUGCACAUGCGGAUGCUUGCAGGGGUAACCUCCACUAGCUCAUCUUCUUGGAUAAACUCUAUGCAGUCAUCCAAACUGUAGCUUAAAGGUUCAUCAAGAACCACUGCAAAAUAGGGAACACAGAGCAUUAAGUGUAGUUUGAUCAAAAGCUAAUAGUCAAUGAAUAUGAAUAUUGGUUGAGUAAUAAAAGCAUUUUCAAGUACAUAUUGGGCAUUUCAGCACUUGCUACUUCUAGAAUGAACAACCUACAUUGUUUUCAAUACAUGGUUAUAUUCCAAGAUCUCUACUCGUUCUUGUUCCAAAAUUUUAUCAUUUAUGUUGCAGCAGCUAUUGGGACGUUUUUCAAGAAGAGCCAAUCACAGUACACAAAAUCUGUUACAUAAAAGGUGGCAGUUCUGGUAGAAAUAAAAAAAAUGAGAAAUCAUCAAACUGCUGAGUGAAAAUAAAGUUCUACCUGUAGUUUCCUUGUUGGAACGAACAUUUGUAGCAGCCUUUUUCUUGCACACAUUAAUUGCUAAAUCACCAGGUCGCUGAUGGAUACCAACAAUUUGACCUUUGUAAACAUCCUGGCCAGGUUGGACAAACAGCAAACCUCUUUCUUGCGCAUUAAGAAGUGCGUAAGAAGUAGUGCUUCCAUCUUCAAACGCAACCUAGAUCAUUUUAUCCAAGUUAAAUGCUAGGGAAAAUUUAAGGAAAAGCUUCAUUGCUUUGAAAAUUAUCCAUACCAAGGAUCCCUGAUCGCGUGAGCUAAGAUCUCCAGCCCAUGGGCCAUAGCUGUCAAAAAUUGUGUUAAGUAUAGCUCUGCCACGAGAAGCUGUAAGAAUUGCAUUCCGAAGUCCAAUGAGGCCUCUGGUAGGAAUCUUGUAUUUCAGCAAUGUUGUUCCCUCCGGCCUACCAUUCAAAAUAAUUCUCAGUAAGGCAAUAAAGCAAUGUGAAAAAGAAGCAGUACACAAUAGGCUGGGGUAUGAUUUAAUUAAUACAAGACAAGUCAAUAAUCAAGCACAUAAUUUUCCUCUUUUCGUUGAAAGACCUGGCUUUUCAAUUAAUUAGAACAAUUCACCUGCUGCAUGAUUUCUACACUAGAUAAGAUAAAUUAUCCAUAAUUAAGGACUGAGACACCAAUAAAGUGAAAUCACAACUCCCAACUAAAAUUGUGCAAACUGACCAUGGAAGAACUCACAGAAAAUUGACCAGUUUGUUGGAUUUCAUCAGUUUGGAUAGGUUUGCAUUAAUGUCUGAGCUUUUCUUUUUCUCAAGUAAAAUUGUUCAAAAUAUACACAAAAGAUAAUGAUGCUAAGAGCAUACAAUUAUGUUUACUUAGUCCCAUACUGCGUACACCUACGUUAGUGCAUAGAGUAUGAAGCUUAACCCUAAACCCUUAAUAGUACACCUUAUGUUUUAAUUUACAGGGUGCACUUUUCUUUGGCUCAGAGACCAAUAAGGUAGCUAACGUGACCAAAUUGCCCCCCAUUAAUUCUUAAGAAUGCAUGCAGCUCGGCUAUCAAUUGCUGCCGUUGCUUAGGAGGGCUACAGACGUCCAUUUGUGCUUUGGAAACGGAACGUGCUUAGUAAAAAUGAACAGCUAAGAGAAAAAUGGACACCCUAUAAAUCCGAAACGGAAGGAGUACUAGUAGUUACAAAAAUACUACAUUAAAAAUAACAGAAAAAAAGGUCAUCUAGGAUGAAAGUGUGGGACUUGAGCAAUGAACUCCAGAAGUCGUUAAUUCUGAUGAAUCGCAACAAUGUUGGCAGUUUUUAUUGCUUUCUUUUUUUCUAUAUAAGAAUAUUAUAUGGAUUGCAACCAAGAAUUUCGCUAAAGAUCUGAUGAAGUAAUGAAAGUAUGGCACCAACCCGCUAGCUUCCAUGUUAACCAUUUGUCCACGCCUUUUCCCCAAAAGCUCAACAACUGAACCCAUGUACUCCUCUGGAACCUCAACAGCAGCUAUCUGGAGCACAGUAACGUGAACAUAUUAGUUAAAUGGAACCUGAGGACAAAAGAGUUCCAGAAAGAAUAAAGUAAUAAAAGAAGAGGUUUAUAGCCAAUAGAUCAGUAAAAAAAUAUAUUACAAAUCUAUUAUAUAUUUAUACAAUAAAGUAUAGACUUACCUCAUAAGGUUCUAGUUGUUUUCCAUCCACUGUCUUGUUUAUGACCUUUGGAGGUCCAAUCAUAAAUUCAUAUCCUUCUCUCCGCCUACAAAGUUCACAUUGUUCUUAAUACAACCAGAACUCACUAAAUUCGUAAUAGUAACAAAUGUUAGUUCUUACAUGUUCUCUAUCAAUAUUGUGAGAUGCAGUGUGCCUCUUCCACUAACAAGGAAUGUAUCAGCAGUCUCCCCAUCUUCUACUUUCAUAGCCAAAUUCCUUUCAAGCUCACGAUAUAACCUGUCACGGAGAUUUCGGCUAGUAACAUAUUUCCCCUGUGAUAGAGAAUGAGAGGAAGAAUGAAUUUAGAACAACAAAUGCAGGAGAUCAGAUUGAGUAGUCAAGAUCAAUUUUAUGGAUCUCCCAACUCUCUUUAGCACAGGAUAGCAUGCUAGAAAUUAGAGAUACACUAUUUUAUGUUUGCGUGGAGGAUGGCUAUACCUCCUUUCCAACAAAAGGUGAUGUAUUGAUGGAGAAAGACAUUCUGACUGUUGGCUCCUCCACUUUGAUAGUGGGCAAUGGUGUUCCUGUAACUUUAUCAGCAAUAGUUUCCCCA
RNAcentral lists this long non-coding RNA (2895 nucleotides) under Setaria viridis. RNAcentral's name for it is "long non-coding RNA (SVIR_LNC000238)". Lineage: Eukaryota; Viridiplantae; Streptophyta; Magnoliopsida; Poales; Poaceae. The record is from RNAcentral.